ACCGGAGUAGGUCAUUGGAAACUGGGAGACUGGAGUGCAGAAGAGGAGAGUGGAACUCCAUGUGUAGCGGUGAAAUGCGUAGAGAUAUGGAAGAACACCAGUGGCGAAAGCGGCUCUCUGGUCUGUAACUGACGCUGAGGUUCGAAAUCGUGGGUAGCAAA
RNAcentral lists this ribosomal RNA (161 nucleotides) under uncultured bacterium. RNAcentral's name for it is "partial 16S ribosomal RNA". It matches the Rfam family "Bacterial small subunit ribosomal RNA", at positions 612 to 772 of the family's 1533-position model. The record is from RNAcentral.